CCCUAUGGGGUGCAGCAGUCGCGAAACCUUUACAAUGCACAAAAGUGUGAUAGGGGAAUCCCAAGUGCUAAUGCUUUGCAUUGGCUUUUGUUAAGAGUAAAUAUCUUAGCGAAUAAGUGGUGGGUAAGACUGGUGCCAGCCGCCGCGGUAACACCAGCGCCACGAGUGGUAACCAUAUUUAUUGGGCCUAAAGCGUCCGUAGCUGGUUUUGUAAAUUCUUUGUUAAAUCAACAAGCUUAACUUGUUGCCUGCAGAGAACACUGCAAGACUUGGAACCGGGAGGAGUCAGAAGUAUGUCAGGGGGCGCGGUAAAAUGCAUUAAUCCCUGAUAGACUACCUAUGGCGAAGGCAUCUGACCAGAACGGGUUCGACAGUGAGGGACGAAGGCUAGGGGAGCGAACCGGAUUAGAUACCCGAGUAGUCCUAGCAGUAAACGCUGCGAGCUAGAUGUCAGAUAUUUUUCGUGAAUAUCUGGUGUCGUAGAGAAGUCGUUAAGCUCGCCGCCUGGGAAGUAUGGUCGCAAGACUGAAACUUAAAGGAAUUGGCGGGGGAGCGCUACAAGGGGUGCGGCGUGCGGUUUAAUCUAACUCUACACAGAAAAUCUCACCAGAAGCGACGGCAGGAUGAAAGUCAGGUUAAAGUUCUUACUAGACAAGCCGAGAAGUGGUGCAUGGCC
This 676-nucleotide ribosomal RNA is filed under the name uncultured euryarchaeote. RNAcentral's name for it is "bacterial SSU rRNA". It matches the Rfam family "Archaeal small subunit ribosomal RNA", at positions 321 to 999 of the family's 1478-position model. The record is from RNAcentral. Lineage: Archaea; Methanobacteriati; Methanobacteriota.